GUUUAUCUUAUAUGGCCUUUAUUAUGUUGAGGUAUUGUCCCUCUAUACCCAAUUUUUAAAGGGUUUUUAUCAUAAAUGGGUGUUGAAUUUUGUC
Long non-coding RNA from Aethalodelphis obliquidens (Pacific white-sided dolphin), 94 nucleotides. RefSeq lists it as uncharacterized. The transcript has 3 exons. The record is from RefSeq and is a predicted model, not a curated record. Lineage: Eukaryota; Metazoa; Chordata; Mammalia; Artiodactyla; Delphinidae.